This 356-nucleotide unclassified non-coding RNA is filed under the name uncultured bacterium. RNAcentral describes it as "16S-23S ribosomal RNA intergenic spacer". The record is from RNAcentral.
CUAAGGAUUAAUUCGGAAUGUAGAUCAUGGAUCUACACGUUGACGUUUUGCGUUCAGUUUUGAAGGUUCAUCUUUAGGAUGAUUCUUUCAAAACUUGUUCAUUGAAAACUGGAUAAAACGACAUUGAAAUUGUACAAGUCAAGAUAAACCGAGUAAAUCAUUUAUGAUUUACUUAUGCAAUACCUUUUUACGUGUAUGCUGUUUUGCAUCGCUGCAAACACAUACACACUACUGAGGUUUUCGAGACACAAGCAAAUCUAGGAAGCAAACGAGAGAGGAAAGGCGCGUGCUUACGUACGUAACUGACCGAACGAGUGAAGCUGACGACGAGUUGCGCUGUGUAUCGUAAACCUCAU